UGGGUCCCGGAACACGUACACUCGGUUCGAGACUACCAACUGAGCCAUAUCCCCAGGCCUGGAAUUUCGGUUUUUAAAAUACAGGUAUGGAGCUCCUCAGGUUUCAAGGAUUCCUCUCAGGGAAGCCUCUGGAAGUCCCAAAAUCUGGAGGAAAAAGUGACAGAAGAGACCUGGGAAGGAGCCGGGCAGAGUAGGGACAGUAGAUUAGGCCAGAAAUGUAGCCUAGGAUGGGCCCCAUGCCCAGCUGUUGUGGGUGAAAGUCUUGGCAUAUCUGGUACCAGCGAUAUCUCCCUAGGGCUGGCCUGAGUUCAGCUCCCCACAUAUAAUGUCCUUGAACCCGGGAGGGAUGCCUGUAACCUAGGCCAUCAUCUUGACUUGUGGGAAAGUCCUCAGGCCAGAGAUGGUAGGCAUCGGGGCAAGGAGACCGAAUCUGAGUCUGCCCAAAGGUAUAGAGCAGGCCAGUAUGGGCCAAGGAUGAGAUGGAGACAGAGGUGAGUCAUCCCGAGAGGCUGACCCAGCCCCAGGAGCCCAAACUCUGGGACAGUUCUUGGGGCUCACUCUUCCCUAAGCCUGGUCCCAGUUCUGAAUUCUGCCCUCCCAGGCAUUAGGCCAGACAGGAGUGGAGGUGGGCAGGCCCAGAGUCAGGAAAUCUGUGUCAGACUUUGCCACUGCCUUGAUGAGCCUCCCUGGACAGCUCCUUUCCCCUCUUUGGGCCUCAAUUUUCCCCCUUUGAACUUCUUCAUUAGAGGUUAGAUUCAAUGACCUCGGAGGAUUAGCUCUGAGGAUUCCUGGACUCUGUGCUAUCAGCCUGCGACCCUAGCAGGGAUUCUGGAGAUUCCUGGGAGUGGGGGUGGGGUAGAGUUGGUGGCCUGUAGAUGACAUCUGCUCAUCUGACAUCUGGUGGUGACAGGCUAGAGCAGAGGUGGGGACAGGCAUGAAUUUGGUUUUGGCAGGAAAUCCUUAUCACAGCUCAGAUACGGAAGGAAACCAUGCAGAGGAUUGAUGAGACUCACGCCACAGGUUUCAGGCCUUAUACUCCCUAGGGCUCUCAUGCCUUUGGUGAAAAGGCCAGGUGUGGGUGAGGUGGGGCAAGUAGGUCUCAGUUUUCUGUCUCCUCCUUCUGAGGUAGCCAUAGGAAGAAGUCCUGUCUCCUACCUGCUGCCAGUGUCCUUGUACCUACCCACACCCCAGGCCCCUUUGGCCAGGGGGAGGUCUCUAGGCUCUAGCACCUGGUUGGCCUGCAGACCAGAGUCCUGGCACCAACUCAGAAGGCAGGAGGCAGGGUCCUCUAGGAACCACGGGUAGUGCAGGAGAUGACGUGGGCCACAGGCACCCAGGAUCCCCAGUGGUGGAGCCCAAACGUCCCUCCAAGCACAAGGCUCCUAUUCCAAGGCCAGGACCUCAACUAUAUUUAGUACCAAGUGUGGAGCACAGUAGUGGAUCAGAGGCAGCAGACGGGGGUACAUGCUUCUCAUUCUUGGCCUACUGGCCUCUGGGGACUGUCAUAACACCUGUCACAAGACAGAUAAGACAUACAUGAGACAGACCAGAAGGGCUUGAGGGGCGGGGAUAGAGUGGAGAAAGGUCACACCUUGAUAGAAGUUGACUGACAUGAAGAGGGAGGGAGAAGAGGAGCCAGCUUUGGGGUCGAAGUGGGUUGAGGGCCUUCAGGGGUUGAUCUUAACCUGAGACCCUGCACCCCAGCAGACCUGAAGCUGUGCUUGCUUACACAUGAUUAGGGAGGGGUCUCCAUGAGCACGGGGCAGGCUGUUUCUGCAGAAAGGACUCUGAUCCACAGUCUUCCCUCCCUGGAGAUGUCACCUUCAUAUUCUCCUAAGUGGCCUGCUGAGGAAUAGAGGGGGGACCAUGGCCGAUAAGAAAGCUUCACAUCCCCUACCCUCUUAUUUCUUGGGAAUCAAGUCCUAAAUUGGGAAUCAAGUCCUAGGGACCUCAUGCCGGCACUGCCUGCCACUUGUUUGCCAAGAUCUGACUCUGGGCCGCAGUUUCCUCAUCUUUAAUUAUAAAGGGUUGGUCUUCAUCUCCCUGGGCCUGAGAAAGUUUGGAAUUGAGACCCCAGAGGUAAAGGUUGGGUAGGUUCUAAUCAAAGUGCUCAGCACGCCCUCUAGUGUUCUUUGUACGAAUUUCCUCUCGAUGAGAAAUCAGUCACCCUUUUAGGGACCUACCUCUUGAGACUCCUCAGUCAAGAUUACCCCAGGUCACUCACUUGAAAGUCUAGCAAAAAAAAAAAAAAAAAACAAACUAAUUUGGACAAAGGAAGGCAAGGAUGGGCACGUCCAGUUUUUCCGCUGGAGAUGUGGGUGGGCAUCCCUUGUGGGGCCAAAGGAAAGACCCUCGGUCCCCCUAGCAAGUCAGGGAAUCAGGGACCAACCUUGAUGGACGGGUCCAAAUGUCCUAAGUUCAUAACUUUUCACACACCAGCCAAAGUGGACCCUGUGCCAGGAUGACAUAGAGAGAGAGAGAGUCUCUAAGUAAAUGUCACCCAGAGCUACUCAGACCCUGGGCCUUCCUCCCUGCCGUUUGUCCCAGCAACUGGACCCCACCCCAAGUGAAUCCCCCAACCACAUCUUCAUCUCUGCCCCUUCUGGAG
Molecule: long non-coding RNA, 2608 nt
Filed under: Marmota monax (woodchuck)
Lineage: Eukaryota; Metazoa; Chordata; Mammalia; Rodentia; Sciuridae
Source: RNAcentral